Molecule: long non-coding RNA, 923 nt
Organism: Hippocampus comes (tiger tail seahorse)
Lineage: Eukaryota; Metazoa; Chordata; Actinopteri; Syngnathiformes; Syngnathidae
Exons: 2
Source: RefSeq, a predicted model, not a curated record
GGUAAUCAGAGAGAGCAGUCGGGUUAUGGAAUACUGCUAAACUUUAAUUUCAUAUUCUAGGUGUUCAAUGACAACAGUUUGUGGAUGGCACGAACACAGUCUGGAAGAUGAAUCAGCCAGCCGCCACACCGCGACACGCUGCCUGGACAGCAUCAAAAUAAAAGCGUACCGAGGCAUUGAUGUCCAUAUAUCAUUUGGUAAUGUAAGGUUUAUUUUGAAGUCGGCCUUCUUACUGAGUUGGCGACGUGUUACUGUUAAAUUUUGCAUUUUAGUUGUGUUCUACAAAAAAUAUAUAUAUUUGAGAGUGUGAGUUUGUGAAUGACAAUUCAUAAACUGGUGAGGACUUAAUUAGUUAAAGUUAUGUGUGCGUGGUUUAUUACAACAGAGUCUGGAUCCAGUCAUCACGUCCUUACCCUUUCGGAAACAAAGGGACCUGGCGACAAUUUGUUGAAGUGUGUUUGACUGACACAUCAUUCAAAAGCAACAAACACAUUAUACACAUAGAACACAAAUAAAACUGGUUUUCACUGGGUGUUUAGCUUCAGUAUUGCGACAGGAGGUCUCCUCCCGUCGACACUGUGUAGCUUAGGAGUUCACAGAGGUUGCAUUACGUUCAAAAGCCCAAAUCAUCACAUGAUUGUCAUCAGACAGUGAGGCGACAGACUCUGCAAUUAUGGGUCAAUUAACAUCAAUGUGCAGAGAUAUGGAGAGCGAGAGCACAGAUGUGUCAGACAGGAGGAACACUGUGAGGACGUCAAAAAAAAAAACAAAAAAAAAAACAAGUCAUACAUUAUUAAAAAGGCUUGAGUGCGUUUCAUUGGCUUCAACCUCACGUCUGUGCCAGAAGAUUCGCAUUAGCAUUGGGAGCAUCGAGCAUGAUGUUGACCCAUUUGCUGGAACCACGCCUCAAUCACAUUUGAGAU